Molecule: ribosomal RNA, 510 nt
Filed under: uncultured bacterium
Lineage: Bacteria
Description: partial 16S ribosomal RNA
Rfam family: Bacterial small subunit ribosomal RNA
Source: RNAcentral
GACGAACGCUGGCGGCGUGCUUAACACAUGCAAGUCGAACGAAGAGCGAUGGAAGCUUGCUUCUAUCAAUCUUAGUGGCGCACGGGUGAGUAACGCGUAAUCAACCUGCCCUUCAGAGGGGGACAACAGUUGGAAACGACUGCUAAUACCGCAUACGAUCUAAUCUCGGCAUCGAGGAUAGAUGAAAGGUGGCCUCUACAUGUAAGCUAUCACUGAAGGAGGGGAUUGCGUCUGAUUAGCUAGUUGGAGGGGUAACGGCCCACCAAGGCGAUGAUCAGUAGCCGGUCUGAGAGGAUGAACGGCCACAUUGGGACUGAGACACGGCCCAGACUCCUACGGGAGGCAGCAGUGGGGAAUCUUCCGCAAUGGACGAAAGUCUGACGGAGCAACGCCGCGUGAGCGAUGACGGCCUUCGGGUUGUAAAGCUCUGUUAAUCGGGACGAAAGGCCUUCUUGCGAAUAGUGAGAAGGAUUGACGGUACCGGAAUAGAAAGCCACGGCUAACUACGUG